Durio zibethinus is the source of this 1031-nucleotide long non-coding RNA. RefSeq lists it as uncharacterized. Lineage: Eukaryota; Viridiplantae; Streptophyta; Magnoliopsida; Malvales; Malvaceae. The record is from RefSeq and is a predicted model, not a curated record.
GUUCGAUAUAGAAUUCUCGUCUUGCUCUCCGCAGAAAAUCAAGGAAAAUUCUCGUUGCAUCUUUACUAAUAGGACCAAAACGAAUAAUUGCAUUUUGGGCUAAUACUGUCAAUGGAGCCCAAUCAUUUCAACCUGGACCUGGUAACUAAACCAAGAAAUAUGAAUGGGCAAUUCUUAACUUGCCACUAUUAUCCGUUAUCACCUUAUCAUGUUUGGACCAAUGCAAAUAAAGAUCCUUAGGGUUUUCACUUUUUUUUUUGCCAGGGUUACACUUUGUCACUAUAUAUAUAGUGUUGUAAUCAACGUUAGGAGCAUGGUGGCCGCUUGCUUGACAUGAGAAAAUGGAGAGACAACGGAGAAGGAGUUAGGAUUCCGGGAAGCUCAUGGAGUGGGUGAGUAGGCAAGAUAAAUUCUGAAAAGAUUUGUUUUAAUUUCUUAAUGAAGAAAAAGAAACAAAGUAAGAGAUGUUUGUCUUACCUACUCCACCCAUGCCAUCCGUUUCCUAGUAUUCCUCCUUCUCCUCAAGUCUCUGUUGCUGCAUACAACUUGAUCUCCCUCCCAUGAUCCAUCUAUGAUAGUGUGAAGCUUUUCUUUUGCGUGGCGCUUCUUCUGUAACAUCUCAAUCUAUGAGGAAACUGAUGCAUAAUAUUUUCUUUCUUUGAGCAUGGCUUCCAAUUUAAAGUUAGGAUUUUGCUCUUUUUUUCGGAUUAUUGCGUGGCCGCGGUCUUGGAUCUUGGAUUGCAUCUGAGAUCCUUGGAUUCUACAGGUUGUUGAUUCUGUAAUUUGGAACUUGGGAAGUUAAGACUUAAGCCUCGAGGAGAUGGAGUCAAGCAUGCCUUCAGUAUUUAGAUGAAAAAAAAAUCUAAAAAUAGUAAAUACCCAUGCUAAGAUUUGUUUAUGAUUCUGCAAUUUCCAGCGACCAGCUGUAUUUAGAUGGGAACUUCAAAAAGCAGGAAAUAUACGUGCGAUGAUCUGUAUAUGAUGUUUAUCUGUUGCUACAUCUUAAAUAUAUCUUCUUAUAUUUUUUUUUC